CAAAGCGGACCGAAGGGGAGCUUGCUCCCUUAGGUCAACGGCGGACGGGUGAGUAACAAGUGGGUAACCUGCCUGUACACAGGGAUAACUCCCGGAAACCGGGGCUAAUACCGGAUGCUUGAUUGAACCGCAAAGUUCAAUCAUAAAAGGUGGCUUUCAGCUACCAGUUACAAAUGGACCAACCGCGCCUAGCUAGUUGGUGAGGUAACAGGUCACCAGGCGAAAUGCAUAACAAACAUGAGAGGGUGAUCGG
Molecule: ribosomal RNA, 253 nt
Filed under: uncultured bacterium
Lineage: Bacteria
Description: partial 16S ribosomal RNA
Rfam family: Bacterial small subunit ribosomal RNA
Source: RNAcentral